UAAGGAAUAUUGGUCAAUGGACGCAAGUCUGAACCAGCCAUGCCGCGUGGAGGAUUGAGGCCCUCUGGGUUGUAAACUCCUUUUAUCUGGGAAGAAAUGUACUUUUUCUUGAGUACUUGACGGUACCAGAGGAAUAAGCACCGGCUAACUCCGUGCCAGCAGCCGCGGUAAUACGGAGGGUGCAAGCGUUAUCCGGAUUCACUGGGUUUAAAGGGUGCGUAGGUGUGCAGGUAAGUCAGUGGUGAAAUCUCCGGGCUUAACCCGGAAACUGCCGUUGAUACUAUUUGUCUUGAAUAUUGUGGAGGUAAGCGGAAUAUGUCAUGUAGCGGUGAAAUGCUUAGAUAUGACAUAGAACACCAAUUGCGAAGGCAGCUUACUACACAAUCAUUGACGCUGAGGCACGAAAGCGUGGGGAUCAAACA
Molecule: ribosomal RNA, 422 nt
Filed under: uncultured bacterium
Lineage: Bacteria
Description: bacterial SSU rRNA
Rfam family: Bacterial small subunit ribosomal RNA
Source: RNAcentral